AACCCAAGUAUCCACUGAUGGAUGAAUGGAUAAAGAAGAUGUGAGGCUGUGGUUAAUCAGUAUCUGAACCUGGAUCUCAGGGAUCUUCUUCUGCUCAGCCUGGGACCAGACCAAGAGGAUACACGGCACAGUGCUUUUGACCAUCUUGACCAGAACCACAAAGAAUUGGAAAUUUCUCAGGAAUGGAUGUUCUCUACUGAUUUCCAAACCUUAGAGAGAGUGGGGGAGAGACAGAGAGAGGAGACACAGAAUCUGAAGCAGGCUCCAGG
Prionailurus viverrinus (fishing cat) is the source of this 269-nucleotide long non-coding RNA. RefSeq lists it as uncharacterized. The record is from RefSeq and is a predicted model, not a curated record. NCBI's taxonomy places the organism in Eukaryota, Metazoa, Chordata, Mammalia, Carnivora, Felidae. The transcript has 3 exons.